RNAcentral lists this ribosomal RNA (387 nucleotides) under uncultured microorganism. RNAcentral's name for it is "bacterial SSU rRNA". It matches the Rfam family "Bacterial small subunit ribosomal RNA", at positions 9 to 392 of the family's 1533-position model. The record is from RNAcentral.
GAGUUUGAUCUUGGCUCAGAUUGAACGCUGGCGGCAUGCCUUACACAUGCAAGUCGAACGGCAGCAUGAUCUAGCUUGCUAGAUUGAUGGCGAGUGGCGAACGGGUGAGUAAUACAUCGGAACGUGCCCUGUAGUGGGGGAUAACUAGUCGAAAGAUUAGCUAAUACCGCAUACGACCUGAGGGUGAAAGUGGGGGACCGCAAGGCCUCAUGCUAUAGGAGCGGCCGAUGUCUGAUUAGCUAGUUGGUGGGGUAAAGGCCCGACCAAGGCGACGAUCAGUAGCUGGUCUGAGAGGACGAUCAGCCACACUGGGACUGAGACACGGCCCAGACUCCUACGGGAGGCAGCAGUGGGGAAUUUGGACAAUGGGCGAAAGCCUGAUCCAGC